GUGUCAGCCGCCGCGGUAAAACGUAGGACGCAAGCGUUAUCCGGAGUUACUGGGCGUAAAGCGCGGGCAGGCGGCUCGAAACGUCUGAUGUGAAAGCACCCGGCUCAACCGGGUGAGGCCAUUGGAAACGGUCGAGCUGGAGGGCAGUAGAGGUAGGCGGAAUUCCGGGUGGAGUGGUGAAAUGCGUAGAGAUCCGGAGGAACACCAGAGGCGAAGGCGGCCUACUGGGCUGCACCUGACGCUGAGCCGCGAAAGCCAGGGGAGCGAACGGGAUUAGAAACCCCUGUAGUCC
This 292-nucleotide ribosomal RNA is filed under the name uncultured bacterium. RNAcentral describes it as "partial 16S ribosomal RNA". It matches the Rfam family "Bacterial small subunit ribosomal RNA", at positions 505 to 796 of the family's 1533-position model. The record is from RNAcentral.